This 393-nucleotide ribosomal RNA is filed under the name uncultured bacterium. Its description in RNAcentral is "partial 16S ribosomal RNA". It matches the Rfam family "Bacterial small subunit ribosomal RNA", at positions 523 to 918 of the family's 1533-position model. The record is from RNAcentral.
AUACGGAAGGUCCGGGCGUUAUCCGGAUUUAUUGGGUUUAAAGGGAGCGCAGGCGGAGAUGCAAGCGUGACGUCAAAUUUCGGGGCUCAACCCCGUCUCGCGUCGCGAACUGCGUCCCUUGGUUGCGGGAAGGGGAGGCGGAACUCGUGGUGUAGCGGUGAAAUGCAUAGAUAUCACGAAGAACUCCGAUCGCGAAGGCAGCCUUCCGGCCCGUCAGCGACGCUCAUGCUCGAAGGUGCGGGUAUCAAACAGGAUUAGAUACCCUGGUAGUCCGCACAGUAAACGAUGGACACCCGCGGUUUGGCCUGUAUGGCUGAGCCGCCAAGCGAAAGCGUUAAGUGUCCCACCUGGGGAGUACGCCGGCAACGGUGAAACUCAAAUGAAUUGACGGGG